AUCCGGCCUCUGGAAGGCUGGGCUUCAGGUAGUGAAGGCGGUGUGUCACUGCGGUGGUAUCUGGGGAGGCGUGCCGAGCCUCUCCGUGUGCGCGUCCCCUCCAGAAAUCUCCACAUCCCCCUGCUUCUCUCUCCACCAGAGCCGCCUCUCCCUCUGCCGACUGCCUGCCUGCCUGCCUGCCUGCCUGCCUGUGCCAAGAAGCCUACCCGAAUCGAGGGAAAGAGAGAACGAUGCCCGGGAGCGCCUUAACUUCACGCCGGGCGCAAGGGCGGAAGGGGGCCGAUUGGUUGACAGCCGGCUGCCUUGCCUUAAGAAGCAGGGCGUCUGAUGUCAAGCCGCCUCUCCCUCUGCCGACUGCCUGCCUGCCUGCCUGCCUGCCUGCCUGUGCCAAGAAGCCUACCCGAAUCGAGGGAAGAGAGAACGAUGCCCGGGAGCGCCUUAACUUCACGCCGGGCGCAAGGGCGGAAGGGGGCCGAUUGGUUGACAGCCGGCUGCCUUGCCUUAAGGAGCAGGGCGUCUGAUGUCAAGCCGCCUCUCCCUCUGCCGACUGCCUGCCUGCCUGCCUGCCUGUGCCAAGAAGCCUACCCGAAUCGAGGGAAGAGAGAACGAUGCCCGGGAGCGCCUUAACUUCACGCCGGGCGCAAGGGCGGAAGGGGGCCGAUUGGUUGACAGCCGGCUGCCUUGCCUUAAGAAGCAGGGCGUCUGAUGUCAGUGAGUGGGGCGGUUUCGUUGGGGGCGAGAGGCCUGGCCGACCUUGCGAGGGUCUUCCCACGCCCCUGGUGCAUUUCAACGUGCGG
This 797-nucleotide long non-coding RNA is filed under the name Sus scrofa (pig). RNAcentral describes it as "lncRNA (ENSSSCG00070024078.1)". Lineage: Eukaryota; Metazoa; Chordata; Mammalia; Artiodactyla; Suidae. The record is from RNAcentral.